AUUGAACGCUGGCGGCAUGCUUUACACAUGCAAGUCGAACGGCAGCGCGGGCUUCGGUCUGGCGGCGAGUGGCGAACGGGUGAGUAAUACAUCGGAACGUGCCCAGUAGUGGGGGAUAGCUCGGCGAAAGCCGGAUUAAUACCGCAUACGACCUGAGGGUGAAAGCGGGGGAUCUUCGGACCUCGCGCUAUUGGAGCGGCCGAUGGCAGAUUAGCUAGUUGGUGGGGUAAAGGCCUACCAAGGCGACGAUCUGUAGCUGGUCUGAGAGGACGACCAGCCACACUGGGACUGAGACACGGCCCAGACUCCUACGGGAGGCAGCAGUGGGGAAUUUUGGACAAUGGGCGAAAGCCUGAUCCAGCAAUGCCGCGUGUGUGAUGAAGGCCUUCGGGUUGUAAAGCACUUUUGGCGGGAACGAAAAGGACUGUGCCAAUACCACGGUUCGAUGACGGUACCCGCAGAAUAAGCACCGGCUAACUACGUG
This 484-nucleotide ribosomal RNA is filed under the name uncultured bacterium. Its description in RNAcentral is "partial 16S ribosomal RNA". It matches the Rfam family "Bacterial small subunit ribosomal RNA", at positions 29 to 507 of the family's 1533-position model. The record is from RNAcentral.